AUUAAAAUAACUCUACUUCCCUUCUUUCACCUUCACUUCCCUUUAACAGAGCCGCGACGAGAGAGGAGCAAGAGGGAACUCUGCAACACUCCUUCCGUCGAUCCGUCGUUGGGAAUUUGGUCCUCCACAAUCGAUUAGUCUCUAUCGGAGGGCCACCUGAGUGCCGCUUCUUCUGACGCCGGUUUGCCGCUUUCCCUGACUCCGGUGUGCGAGUUCACUAGCGUUGAAGCUUCGACUGCCCUGACGCUGGACUGAUUUCACACGUGACGCCUGUUUGAGGAUAUAAGCAAAUUGGUUUGCUUUUGCUUGGAGUUGGUUUCUUUCUUAGGUGAGUUGUGCAUAAAUUUAUUUUGUAUGCUUCGAAUGAAAUUUUUUUGUUACAUUUUUAUUAGUUAUAGGAGUUAGUUUAUAGUAUGAGUAUGAGUAUGAGUUUGUUUAAAGUGUGUAUAAAUAUGUAAAUGUAUAUACUAAAAGUAUGUAUGUUGAUUUAUCAAAGUGUUUGCAUUGUUAUUGUGGGUACAUUUGGUUAUUUAGAUUAAAUUAGUCAUCUUUUAACCAAAUUGCAUAUUCUGAGUAGCUCUAUCCUCUACAUCUUGUGUAUAUUAUGAGUAUCUUAAAUUAAGUUAAGUGAGGCGUAUACUUGUUCUUUUUAAUUAUGCCAUGACUUAUUUUAAAGUUUCUCACAUGAAAUCUUAACAAAUUCUUAUCAAUAAUGAAAAUCAGCUGCCAAUAAGCUCAAAUUUUGGUUUACAAAAAGUGUUGCUGUCAAGAAGUCUGGUUUGACCUAGAAUAUGUUUUGCUGAUCAUUUUUAUCUGUUUUUUUUUUUCUUUUCUUUCUUUUUUUUUGGUGGAGUACAGAAUUUUGUUUUGUGGCUCUGUUUCUUUGUUCAGAUGUAUCCCUUCAAACUUUUGAAGUGCUUCUACUGUUGCUAGUGCCUAGUACAUAUAUGAUGAUGCUUGCUAGUGUUGCAAUGUGCAUUUUAUGCACUAUUGAAGUUGGCGACGCAUUAAAUGAUAUUGCUUAAGGCUUUUCUUGUGAUAUUUAAACGAUGCAAAAUCAUAAUUUUUAUGCCAUUUAUGUUGUCAAAUUUAAGUGUAAACCUUCUAGUUUAGGCUAUUUAUGUGAUUUAUCUUUAUGUAUUAUCUUUAUCUUUAUGUGAUUUAUCCUUCUAGUGUAUUGCUUUCAUGAUCGUCUUUGAAUUUAUUCCAUUUAUGAUAUUGAAGUCAAAUCACGAUUCCUCACAGCAUGCAUUUUCCAGUAUGUUCUUAGGUAGAUUUCUGGUGUAGAUUUGCCUAGUAAAAAUCCCCAGAAACAUCCUUUGUGAUAAACUAACUAUAGUGUCGUAGUACAUUUUAUAUGACCUUAUGGCCUGGUGUUCCUUGGUUGCUUUAGAUGACAGAAUAGGUACUACUCCAAUUUGUGCAGUGUUUUGGUUACAUUUGUAUGAGUUAUAGGAGUUAGUUUAUAGUAUGAGUAUGAGUAUGAGUAUGAGUUUCUUUAAAGUGUGUAUAAGUAUGUCAAUGUUUAUACUAAAAGUAUGUAUGUUGUACUUUCAAUUUCAAGUUAAAGUAUGUAUGCAUAUUGUUUAAAGUUAGUAUGUAUGUAAUAGUUUAAAAUAUCUUUCUUAAAAUAAUUCCAUGUUCAAAUUUGAAAAAGUAUAAAUUAUAUAUAAGAUACAAGUUUACAAUAGUGAAUGUCAUGAUUAAAGCUUAGAAUUUGUUUAAGGAAUAUUAAUUAACGUAAAGUAUGUUAUGAUUUGUUCUUCAUAUUGGAGGUUCUUAAUGAUAGGUGAUUAUUACUCUCUUAUUAUGUAGAAGUAUGGUUACAUUCACUAGUGGGGUUAGAUGUCAAAGGAUGGGUAAUGUUGGAGUGAUAUGGAUCUUUGGACAUCAUUUUAAAUCUAAGUCCAUAUCAUACAUACAGACAUUUAAAUGAAUGCAUUAUUUUUGUUUAUGAUUUAUACUAUGUGAUCUAUUGAUU
Molecule: long non-coding RNA, 1981 nt
Organism: Chenopodium quinoa (quinoa)
Lineage: Eukaryota; Viridiplantae; Streptophyta; Magnoliopsida; Caryophyllales; Amaranthaceae
Exons: 3
Source: RefSeq, a predicted model, not a curated record